RNAcentral lists this long non-coding RNA (477 nucleotides) under Ovis aries (sheep). RNAcentral's name for it is "lncRNA (ENSOARG00000025218.1)". Lineage: Eukaryota; Metazoa; Chordata; Mammalia; Artiodactyla; Bovidae. The record is from RNAcentral.
AUGAAUUCAGAAUGUAUUGCUGCCACUGAGAAGUUACGUGUUGUCCUCAGAAACAAAGAUGACUCUCCAGCAUCUGUAUGGCAUAUGUAUUUUCAGAGGGAGAAUGGAUCUGUGCCAGUUCUCUGUUUGAACUUCUGGUUAAGAAGGUUAUAGUUUUGGCUGGCCUGAAUUAAAGGAACGGAAGUAGCACAAGUUUAGGUGACCUAUACCAAGUUCCCAGUGAGUCAUCAGUGAAACUGGCACAUGGAAUUCAGAGCUCUCCUCACUGACUUUUAUGUUCCAGCUGUUGGGAGACCAAGGGAUGUAAGUCAGAUGACCUACUUGCAAAUGACUGCAGAAAGAACAAAGAAGUUGCAGGCCCAUUCAAAUGGUGUCAAGGAUGAAUUAGCUCAGAAUAGUUCUGAAGAAAAGAAAACUAUCAAGGUCAAAGUGUGCACUGAAAUAUUGAUAAAUUCUCCUCUCUUAUUAAAUCAUUAA